UGGGUCUCCUGGAGAAAGGUC
This 21-nucleotide microRNA is filed under the name Nicotiana tabacum (common tobacco). Its description in RNAcentral is "nta-miR6154b". Lineage: Eukaryota; Viridiplantae; Streptophyta; Magnoliopsida; Solanales; Solanaceae. The record is from miRBase by way of RNAcentral.